AUGUGGAUGACAGUUGUGGGGAAGAAGCACAACCUCCAGGACGCGGAGCUCUACUUCUGCUCGAUAAUUCAGCUCGUGAAACGACUGUUAAGUUUUAUAGCUCCCUGGCUCCCAGCCCUUUUGAGCUUCUCAUCUGCUCCAACAAGGACAAUUUGGGGUGCUAUUGUCAGCUUCACUGAAUCUGCAGUAAAUGGCGUGCGAGGAGAGAUAAGCAAUGCUGUGACAGGAAACGCUGGAGACCAGGAGAUGGAACACUUAAAAAAGGAACACUGGUUUUUGCUGGAUUACUCUGAGGACUGGAAACACCAGGUUUGCACCAAUAUCGCUGGUUUGGUUAAAGUUUCAGGUGCGACACGCCAGCCGGACACUGGGCACUGAGACACGUGGGGAAGGGAGCAGCUGUCCCCAGCUGAGCCUCGUGGCGUGAAGAGGCACACACUGUUACAAGCUGCGUUUCCUUUCUGAGGUUAAUUACUAAUAAUACACCUGCAGUGCGCUAUCAGUGGAUCUGAGGUGAUGUGUCCAUCAUCAUUCUCCUCUGGGCAACCUGGGCCAGGCUCUCACCACCCUCACGGGAGAGAAUUUUUCCCUGAGAUCUCACCUCAUCUCCCCUCUUUCAGUGUCAAACCCUUCCCCUUUCUCCCUAGGGCUCCCCUCCCUGAUCCAGAGUCCCUCCCCAUCUCUCCUGGAGCCCCCUGGAAGGGGCUCUAAGGUCUCCCUGGGGCCUUCUCUUCUCCAGGCUGAACCCCCCCAACUCUCUCAGCCUGUCCUCACAGCCAGCCCUCCCAGCAUCUCCAGGGCCUCCUCUGGCCCCAUGUCCUUCUGCUGUUGGUGGCCCCAGAGCUGGAGGCAGCACUUGGUGGGGGGGUGGUGUUCUCCCCAGAGGGGAGCAGAGGGGCAGAAUCCCCCCCUGGCCCUGCUGGCCACGCUGCUGGGGGUGCAGCCUGGGGUGCAGGGGGUUUCUGGGCUGCCAGGGCAGGUUGCUGGGUCAUAGAAUCAUGGAAUGGUUUGGGUGGGAAGGGACCUUACAGCCCCCCCAGUGCCACCCCCUGCCCUGGGCAGGGACACCUCCCACCAGCCCAGGUUGCUCCAAGCCCCCUCCAACCUGGCCUUGAACCCCUCCAGGGAUGGGGCAGCCACAGCUUCUCUGGGCAACCUGGGCCAGGCUCUCACCACCCUCACACCAAACAAGUUCUUCCUGAGAUCUCACCUCAAUCUCCCCUCUUUCAUGUUGAGCUUCUCACCCCUCCAGCCCCCCCAAGCCCUCCCCAGCCCCUAUCCAUACGGGGCGGGGGUCAUGCAAUGUAACAAGAAACACAACGUUAAGGGACAAGGGACAUGGUGGCCGUGAGGGACGCGGAGACCCGGGGGCUCCUCC
RNAcentral lists this long non-coding RNA (1378 nucleotides) under Calidris pugnax (ruff). RNAcentral describes it as "lncRNA (ENSCPUG00000008927.1)". The record is from RNAcentral. Lineage: Eukaryota; Metazoa; Chordata; Aves; Charadriiformes; Scolopacidae.